Molecule: ribosomal RNA, 253 nt
Filed under: uncultured bacterium
Lineage: Bacteria
Description: partial 16S ribosomal RNA
Rfam family: Bacterial small subunit ribosomal RNA
Source: RNAcentral
UACGGGGGGGGCAAGCGUUGUUCGGAAUUACUGGGCGUAAAGGGCUCGUAGGCGGCCUUCUAAGUCGAACGUGAAAUCCCCGGGCUCAACCCGGGAACUGCGUCCGAUACUGGAAGGCUUGAAUUCGGGAGAGGGAUGCGGAAUUCCAGGUGUAGCGGUGAAAUGCGUAGAUAUCUGGAGGAACACCGGUGGCGAAGGCGGCAUCCUGGACCGGCAUUGACGCUGAGGCGCGAAAGCCAGGGGAGCAAACGGG